GUAGCUGCUUUUGUGAGCGGUGGUCUCGCCUGAGGGUCAACGCCCGAGAGAUUGUGGCCUAAUAAAGCACUCGCUUCGCUCUAUUUCGGCUUUGAGAACCAUCAAGCCACUGCGAAACGGCCACCCGGAC
Molecule: non-coding RNA, 130 nt
Organism: Helicobacteraceae bacterium 4484_230
Lineage: Bacteria; Pseudomonadati; Campylobacterota; Epsilonproteobacteria; Campylobacterales; Helicobacteraceae
Source: Rfam